RNAcentral lists this long non-coding RNA (3083 nucleotides) under Podarcis lilfordi (Lilford's wall lizard). The record is from RNAcentral. Lineage: Eukaryota; Metazoa; Chordata; Lepidosauria; Squamata; Lacertidae.
GUCCUCCAUGAACCAGUAGUGGUUUAGUCAUGCUGGCCACAUGACCCAGAAAGCUGUCUGUGGACAAACACUGGCUCCAUUGGCCUGAAAAGCGAAAUGAGUGCUGCACCCUAUAGUCACCUUUGACUAGCCUUACCCAUCCAGGGAUCCUUUACCUUUACCUUUUUAUGUUCAAAUGAUUUGGAGUGCUCCAAUAUCUUCUUUGGGAGUGACGAAUGUUGUUGGUUAUAACGGAGCUUGCACACCAUUCCCUUAUCUUCUCAUGAGGUGGCCAAAGUAUUGGAGCCUCAGCUUCAGGAUCUGUCCUUCCAGUGAGCACUCAGGGCUGAUUUCCUUCAGAAUGGAUAGGUUUGAUCUUCUUGCAGUCCAUGGGACUCUCAAGAGUCUCCUCCAGCACCAUAAUUCAAAAGCAUCAAUUCUUUGGGGAUCAACCUCAGGUUAAGAAACAAUGGUUCCUACAUGGUUCCUACAUGGCAGAUGGGGAUGGAGGCAGUGGGGUGGAGAGCCUAAAUUCAAAGAGCGCAACUUGCCUAAGGCCACCUUGAGACUUGGUAGAGAAGGUCAGAUUUGAAGUAGGGAGUUACUGUCUUGCAUUUGUAGACUCUGUGCAAUGCUGGUUUGCUAAUUUCUUAACUGCUAAACAAUCCGCAGGGAACUUUAUAGCAUUUUUUAAAAUCUUCUUUUAAAUGCACUGUUCCCCAUUCAUAGUGGAGACUGGCUAGCUGUCGUUCAGCUAACAGUUAUCCAUUCAAAACAGAAACCACCCAGCUGUUGUGCAUCUGUCCACCCUUCCUUGUGUUCAUCAUUGUUCUCCAUUUAAACCACAUUCCUGGCUUGCUAUUUUGCCAGGCUAUUGCUGAGCCAUUAACCAGUUCUCUAAGCGUAUUUGUCACUUGCACCUUCUCUCAUACCGGGAAUGAUCAACAUGUUGAGGAGAGAUCUUUCUCUUCUUUCUGAGUUGGUCCCUGCAUUGAGCUGUCACUCAGAAUGGCUUCUGUAAGGAAGUUCAGAACAACUUUACAGACUGUUGUUUCGUGAUAGGCAUCGGCUAUACAAAACCUUAAACAGGAGUAUCCCAUUGCAGCUCUGCUGAGUCCCAUAACUCUUCAAUCAUCUGCUCAGGGCAGGCUUUCAUUUCAGUGUCACUUCCUUCCCCAGGAACCAGCACAAGGUGAGUUAAGAAUGGGUGUCUACUUUAAGGACGUCUCUGUUGACCUCCGAAGUUCCUGUUGCUCAUAAAGGUUCCUCUUGCUCAGGAUUUGUGCUUAGAGAAAUUGCUGGCUGCAGAUAUCCAGAGCUGUUGCCCCUCAAGCCCUUCUAAGUCUGGGGUUGGGCCAGGCAAAAGCUACAGUCAGGCAAAGAAUAUUAGACACCGAGAGACAACAGAACUGCUCAAGGUGCCCCGACUAUAAAAUUGGAGAAAUCAAGAGAUAUAUAGCCGCAUCGGCAGCAUAUCUCUUCUUUCUUGUAUCUAGAAAUGCAAGAAGGGCCUUUACACUCACCAGAAGCUCGGCUCUGCCCUCGCCGGUCCUGGAAGGAGCCUUUAGAAAAGUCCCGUAUUCUCAGAGACUUUGCACCUGUCCAUUGGGAGAGACAGGAAGUCCAGAACACGUGAUCUUUAGAUGUCCCUUUUAUGAAGAGGCACGUAGUGAGACCAUUGAUCCCCUACUGGUGAGGUUCGCCGACCUCCCGCAAAAGCAAAAAAUUGACCUUUUCCUGUUAGGCAAAGAUCAGAAGAUGAUCCGGAUGGUCACCAGAUUCUGUGUACAGAUCUGUAGGUGCAGACCAUCUCCCAACUCAAACUAGUCCGUCAUGAAAAUCCCCAAACUCAGUUCCAUGGGUUAUUCUGGGUCAGCUCCCUGCGAUAGUUUAUUGCUGUACAUUGUUUUCAAAUUUAUUGUUGUACAUUGUUUUAAUUGUCUGUUUUUCUUCUGUGACUGUACCCCCAAGGGUGUUUUAUAAGCUGGUCUCCUACUGUAAUAAAUUAUCUAUCUAUCCAGAGUUGCAGUCUUCUGACUUUCUCCUUCCCCAGAAGCAGUGCGUAAUUGUUGAAUGUGCUUCACUGUGUUAGGCUGCAGGCAUAGGAUCCACAGCAAGCCACCUACUCUGCUAAACUCUCCGAGCCUCUGAUACUCUGAACACACACCAAAUCAAUCUACAUUGAAAGGGAAACAGUAGAUAAUUUGCCAUAUUUCAAUAUAUUGUAUGAUCUUUGAAGUCUAUUUUAUGCCCGUGUUAAGGCUGCAUUCAACAGUGAAAGCUGAGAAAGAAAGGUCCCUUAGAUACAUUCACAAAGUCACUUAAAUAAUACAGGGAGACUCCAAAGAGAAAAGAAAUCCAGAUAACCUUUUGCUGAGGACACUCCACAAAACAGUGUAUGGUUUAAGAAGAAAGAGACAGAGAAGUUUUGUCUUUCUUACAUCAAGCCUUGUAAAUAGCAGGGAGACAUUCAACCAAACAUAUACAGGAAAACACCCUCAGAAUUACAAAGCCAAUCAGAGUAUGUUCUACCUCAGCAAACAUCAUGCCACUAUGCCUGGUUGCUAAGCAAAGCCACUACUGCCAUCUUGGUUAUCUGCUUUAGUGAUAACAGAAUUAACGCUCGCUCUGCUGUUGCACUUUCAACAAGAUAGAACAUUAAACCAUCAAGUCUAAUAUUGUCUACUUUAACUGGCAGUAACUCUCCUGGUUCUCAGGAACAAAUCUUUCUCAGCCCAACCACCAAAGAUACAAUUUUCCUUAGUUCCUACCCUGUAAUUUAAUUAGAAUAAGAGUUAAUCCAGUCAUGUACAGCAGGCAAAGCCAAUCAGAUUCAAAUGGAAAAAGAGCCCCAAAAACAGUUUUAGCUCUGGACUGGUGAAAUGAUCUAUGUACUACUUGCUCUGAAAGUUUCUCUCCCACAGAUGCAUACACGACAUUUUCUAUAUCUCAGCAUGUUUUUAAAAAGUUCCUGUUGUGAGAUUAGAAUGCCUUUUCUAAGCAAGGUUCCUCCUCUUGACACCCCCAUUCUCAAUUUUAAAUAUAUAUAAGCUUGCAAGCUGUACCUUGAGAGCUGAAUGAGGAACGGGGUGGAGGGGAAAUUU